This 1070-nucleotide long non-coding RNA is filed under the name Homo sapiens (human). RNAcentral describes it as "long intergenic non-protein coding RNA 1093". The record is from RNAcentral. Lineage: Eukaryota; Metazoa; Chordata; Mammalia; Primates; Hominidae.
AAACCAUGGGCACCCUUGGGUCCCUUGGGGUCACUAUGUUACACCUGCUUUUUAUCUGUCUGGGCAAGAGCUGCUCAAGCCACACCUUGUGACACUGAGGUGAAAAGGCAGGUCGGGUGAAGAAGAGCAGGAUGUUUCAUUUUUAUCAAGCAUCACCUGAUUCAAAAUGUAGCCACUGAAAAGAAGCCAUCGUUUUUGGCCUGCGUCUCUGAGGAUAAGAUAGUGCGUGGGUGAUGGAUGCAGCCCAGCCUCAGGAGGACAACGUCAGAAACCAAAAGCUCCUCUGCCCAGGGAUGGGGACCCGCCGACUUCAAGGGCAGAACAGGAGAUGUGUUUGUUUGAGUAGAUCAGCUAUGAAAAUACCCAGCCGGCCUGCAGCCCUCCCGGCAGAUGCUGAAAAGGAAACCCGACUGGGAGAUGCCGCCCACCCUUAUCCCCAGAGAGCUGCGUUGUUUCCUCUUGCCUUGGCCUUUGGAUCCGGCCAUAGCAAGCAUCCCUGGGCACCUGGCUGAAGCUGGAAACUCGGGAUAAGAAUGGAAGCCCUGGAAGGGAAGAAGAACCGAGGAGAGGACAGCACAUUGCACUCUCACCUCCUUUGCAGUUAAGUGUGAAAUAGUGCCAAUAGAGUGUAAAAGAAAAGAAAGAAGAUGAUUCACCUCCCAAAGAUUCCCCACUGCUGUGUCCCUUCUAUCAACUUGAUACAAAAAAACACAAUGGCCCCGGGAACCACGUGUUGAAGAUGAGAGAGCUAAAAGAUGGAAAGAGACUGGAGCCCUGAGUCACCACCUGGAGGAAAACUACCCACCCAUCAGGAAUUUCUACUACACAUUUGGGAGUUUUUGGGGUUACAGCAGCUAAUUUAACGAAAACACCCAGAGACAAGAGCUAUUACUGCACAAAUUGGUUAAGUUACCUUUUUGUAUGUUUGGGUCCUCUCUAUUCGAUGAGACUGCGCGUUCCUUUGAAGCAAAUCUGUUUAAAAUUCUUAUAUCCCCAGAGGGCCUAGCAGAGAGUAUGCACAGAGUGAGCCUUCAGUAAAUGCUGAGUAAAUAAGCUCCUAAUGGAUGAAA